RNAcentral lists this ribosomal RNA (497 nucleotides) under uncultured bacterium. RNAcentral describes it as "partial 16S ribosomal RNA". It matches the Rfam family "Bacterial small subunit ribosomal RNA", at positions 28 to 507 of the family's 1533-position model. The record is from RNAcentral.
GAUGAACGCUGGCGGCGCGCCUAAUACAUGCAAGUCGAGCGAACGGACGAGAAGCUUGCUUCUCUGAUGUUAGCGGCGGACGGGUGAGUAACACGUGGAUAACCUACCUAUAAGACUGGGAUAACUUCGGGAAACCGGAGCUAAUGCCGGAUAAUAUUUUGAACCGCAUGGUUCAAAAGUGAAAGACGGUCUUGCUGUCACUUAUAGCUGGAUCCGCGCUGCAUUAGCUAGUUGGUAAGGUAACGGCUUACCAAGGCAACGUUGCAUAGCCGACCUGAGAGGGUAAUCGGCCACACUGGAACUGAGACACGGUCCAGACUCCUACGGGAGGCAGCAGUAGGGAAUCUUCCGCAAUGGGCGAAAGCCUGACGGAGCAACGCCGCGUGAGUGAUGAAGGUCUUCGGAUCGUAAAACUCUGUUAUUAGGGAAGAACAUAUGUGUAAGUAACUGUGCACAUCUUGACGGUACCUAAUCAGAAAGCCACGGCUAACUACGUG